RNAcentral lists this ribosomal RNA (313 nucleotides) under Citrobacter freundii. RNAcentral's name for it is "bacterial SSU rRNA". It matches the Rfam family "Bacterial small subunit ribosomal RNA", at positions 115 to 431 of the family's 1533-position model. The record is from RNAcentral. Lineage: Bacteria; Pseudomonadati; Pseudomonadota; Gammaproteobacteria; Enterobacterales; Enterobacteriaceae.
GUCUGGGAAACUGCCCGAUGGAGGGGGAUAACUACUGGAAACGGUAGCUAAUACCGCAUAACGUCGCAAGACCAAAGAGGGGGACCUUCGGGCCUCUUGCCAUCGGAUGUGCCCAGAUGGGAUUAGCUAGUAGGUGGGGUAACGGCUCACCUAGGCGACGAUCCCUAGCUGGUCUGAGAGGAUGACCAGCCACACUGGAACUGAGACACGGUCCAGACUCCUACGGGAGGCAGCAGUGGGGAAUAUUGCACAAUGGGCGCAAGCCUGAUGCAGCCAUGCCGCGUGUAUGAAGAAGGCCUUCGGGUUGUAAAGU